AGGUGGAGGCUGCUUCCUUCAGUGGCCUUGCCCAAAAGGCGGCGGUGAGACUGCCAAGGAUGACACCAUUUUGGAGGGGACUGUCCUUGCGUCCUAUAGGUGCUUCAUGCAGAGAUCCCUCAGAAUGCCUCACACGACUGUGCAAGUAAUUAUCUCACAAUAAAUACAAUCCCUUUAAAACUUGUUAUCACACAAGCACCUUUUGUUUAACUCCUUCACCUUGGUUCUUGUGUAUACACGGUUUGCAUAAAUGCAAGUGAAAUUUAUUUGCAAACAAAUUUAGUCUGAAAAUUAUGCUUUUCAUAACUCCUGAAAUUCACAGCAUAGUGACACUAACAGCUGUCACGCUCUAAUUUUUAAGAAAGCUGAGAGCUGUAGCCUUUAUCCUCCAGCCACCCUCCCACCAAGAGGAGAAGCCAAUCGGAGGGUUGCUGAUGCUGGCAUGGAGUUCAGAGCUGACGGAAGACAAAGGGCACAGUGUAAGUGUGCUCUAACUCCUGUCAGCAGGCAGCACUCUCUUCCCUGCUCCAUUACGAUGUCAAGCUGCACAUCAUAAUGGAGCAGGGAAGCAGCUUGAUGGCUGCUGUCAAGCAUUACAGCACAUGCCCAUGAAUGUGUAUAUGUGUGUGUGUUUCAGAGUGUGUAUAUACGUGCAUGUAUUAGUAUGUGUAUGUCAAAAGAAGCUGCAUGGCUGCAGAAAGGGUGAUAUCAGCAAAGUCAUGGCAAUGUGACUACAUAUAUCAUAAUUAUACAAUACGUAUAUUUAUUUACAACACUGUUUCCUUGCUUGUUACUUAAAUAUUUUAUACUUAAGUUUUUCUGUCCAACCAAAAUUUGUAUUUUUGUUUCUAUUUAAUAAUGUGCUAUCUACGGGAGAUGUGCUGGCGGGAGAUUUAAUUAUUAUUCACGGUAACAUAUUUAAUUAAAUUAUUUUUAUAUAGUUUCCUCAUACUGAUCUCUUUCUAUAGAUAGGUUAUGAUACAGUCUUCUAAAAAUGUCCUGUUUGUUUUUAAUUUCAGAAACAAUCGCUGCUCUUUGCAGACGUUUGCUGAUUGAGCAAAGUUAAUUUUGGUCAAAUCUUUUUGCCCACUUAUCUGAUGUGAAAAAAAUGAAAAAAAUACGAGGAGAGGCGUCCUGGGCAAAUAUACUAACUCAUGCUAUUUAUUAAAAAAAAGAACUUUUAUAUGUCAUAUUUGUGUUAUAUGUAUUUUUGCUGGUGUAUAGGUGUUAAUACUAUGUGUUUGCUGCAUGGAAACAGGGAACUGUUUUUCAAACAAUCAAAUGUCCAUCCAGUCAAUACUGUGAAUGGGGAGGUUAAUAUAUUUACUACUGCUACAAACCUAUAACUAUCAUUGAGCUCGGUAAUAACAUCAUCUAUACUCCAGGACAUACUUGAAAUUUUAUGAAUGCUAAACCUAUUCUUUCUGGUUAAAUAACCAAUAUUAUUUCUGUUAUUUGUUAAAGGCAUGAAUAUUUAUUUUCAUGUCUUAUGCACGCCCUUGUAUUCUUACAUAAAUCAGUUGACUAUAAAAAUGCUGCUGUGUUUGUUUUUUUGAGCAUUUAUGAAUUGACCUAAACUCAGGUUCUGAUAAAGCAAAUAUAACCACUCCAACAAUGGAACAACUGAGACAUCUGGACCCCAAAUUAGGAUUGAGGGUUUUCCAAUUAAUUGGUUCUUCUUCUGAUUUUCAAUGAGCUGAGACUGGCUGAUAUAUUUCAGCAUAUCUCUGAACCUACUGGGAGUGGUGUAUUUUGGAUUUGUGCUGCCCUAGGCACGACUAAAUUCGAGCACCCCCAAAAUCAAAAUUUUCCCCCCCAGUUCUUGUCAAGGCCAUUUUUUUGACUGACAGACACAUGCCCUCAUUGAUACAUGGACUGAUAUACACUCGCUGACAGAUACACAGUCAUUGGCACACACAGUCAUUGGCACACACUGUUUAACCAACUCACACUUUCACUGACAGACACACACUCUCAGAUACACAUAAAAUGACAUACACACACUGACACACUCACAGGCACACCCAUUCUCACUCACAGACACACACUGACAGCUACACUCACUCACAGUAAGGUGGACAGCCCCAGAACACGAGGCAAACAAGGCAUUUGUCUGGGAGCUUGGGUGGCAUUUUUUGGCGCCGCCCUAGCAAAAUGCCUUGUUUGUGGUAAAUACAUCCCUGCCUACUGGCACAAAUUAGUGCAUUUGCAAGAGCAGGUUUACAAAUCUAGAUUAACUUAAAAGCUUUUGCAAUUUACAGCAACAGGUUAAAAACAAAAAGCUCAAACCAGUAUGAAGUAUGUUUGCCAUACACGAAUACCCUUUAACCCCUUAAAGACCGUAGACGUACUAGGUACUGUGGCGAACAGAACCUCGCCACAGGCUCCUGGAGGAGCCUGCUUGCCAACCUCUUGCCUCAAGACUAUGGGCCAUGCGAAAAGGCUCAUAAAAGACUUUGUUCAUGCCCUUUCUCUAUUCUGUUUGGAAACUGAACAGGUGCACAAACUAUGGACCACCUGGGAGCUUGUUAAGCUUAACUGACAGUUUGUAACACGUUCCACCGCAGUGUUCUAAUUGUUCGUCCGCAGGCAGCGGUGUUUGGUCUUCGAGUUCAUGGAGCUGAAAUCGGACGCUCUAAGGGUAUUGCAGCGAUACCUUGAUGUCGAGGCAUUCUGCAAUACCUCUCCUGACUGCCGGGUCGCAGUUUAGCAGAGUAUCGGAAACCAUCGGGCAAGCUUAUGAUGCUCUGCCUGUGUGCUAAGUGCCUCAAGCGCUCGAGGCACUCAGUGAAGGCUUAAAUAAAAUAAAUAAAAUCAAUUUAAAAAAAACGAAUAAAAUAAAUGUAUUAUUCUCCCCCCUCCCCCUCCCCCCCAACAAUGUGGCUUCCAAGAUAGCGCUGCCUCUCUAAAGGUAGUGCAUCAUGGGGGUUCUGGGGGUGUCCCUAGCCUGCCUCAUCAUAGCAAUCAGAGCUUAUCCCUAUAAUAAUAUUUAUUAUUACUAUGAUCCCCAUUGGUCUGGUCAAGUCAAUAUUAGUAAAUAUUGACUCUGAUCAGUGUGGCUCUCCCUCCCUCUCUUCACUUGUGUUUUAGUGUGAGAGAGAGGUCUGGGUUUAGGUAGAGGGAUUUAAGUAGUUUUAGGUGGGGAUUUGUAAAAUGGAGACUCCUUUCAAAGCCAUUAAUUCCAAUCUAGCCAGUAAUCACUACAGUAUAAAUCACUGGCUCACUAAAUAAAGUGUCACUGAGGUCACAGAGGUUGUAUAGCGCUGAGGAGGUGUAUACCAUCCUUGCAUUAGAGUCUGACACGUCUAUGUCUGACUCUCACCCUGAUUUUGUCCUUGCCAGGUGCUCAGAUAUAUCACUAGAUACAGUGUCUUCUGCUAGUGAUGUAGCUGUGGCUGCUAAGCCCCCUGGCAGAAGUACAUGUGCUGCUCCAGCUGGCAGUGCAGCUGAGGAGUGGGUAGAGCCUCAUCGCCAGAGGCCAGAGGCCACCCUUCACAGCAAAUCCUGGCAUCAAUGUGGAUGUCGCAGGAUUUAGCCCCCAACAGUUCAUGGAGGUGUUUCUGGGCGAUGAUGUAUUGGGGAACAAUACCCAAACUAAUUUAUAUGCCCAUCAGUUCAUGAUUCAAAGCCUGACUCUUUUUUUUGGCAAAGCAGCAAUUGGCCCUCAUCAAUGUCCCAGAAUCUAAAAAAUUCUGGGCAUUGGCUAUGCUGAUGGGCAUCAUAAAAAAGCCCUCCAUCCACUCCUACUGGAGCAGUAGCCCCAUCUGCUCCACCCCCAUUUACUCACAUUGUAUGUCGAGGAAGAGGUAUGAAAUGAUUGUACAUUUCAUGCACUUCAGCGACAACAGCCUGUGCCCUACUAUGGAGCAUCCCCAGUUUGAAAGGCUGUAUAAAAUCCGCCCCCUGAUUACCCACUUUGCUGCCAGGUUUGCAGAAGCUUAUACACCUGGAUGAAACCCUGAUGAAGUAUAAGGAAAGGCUAGGAAUUCAAGCAGUGUAUUCCUUCCAAGCACUCCAGGUAUGGUGUAAAGGUGUAUAAGCUCUGUGAGAGCGAGACUGGGUAUACUCAUGCUGUCUGGGUGUACGAGGGAAAGGAUAACCACCUUGACCCUCCAGGUUGCCCAGAACUGUAUUUCAAUUGACAGCUUUAGAACCAGUGGCAAAAUUGUCUGCGACCUGAUAUUCCCCCUGAUGAACAAAGGGUACCAUUCGUAUAUAGACAAUUUUUAUAUAAGUGUCCCUUUGUUCAAGCUAUUGUAUUGUUUUCAGUAGCUCACGGUACAAUCAGAAAGAACCGUGCAGGUUUCCCAGGACAACUUGCACGCACUCGGCUACCACAGCUCUGCACCAAGAGGAGCUGUUGGCAGUUAAGUACAGAGACAAGAAGCAUGUGUACCUUCUUACCACCAUCCACAUUAAGAGGACUGUGGAGGUCUCUGUACGUGGCAGAGCUGAGAGCACAAUGAAGCCAGUGUGCAUCAGGUCCUAUAACCAGCAUAUGGGUGGGGUUGAUCUUGUAGAUCAGCCCGACCUAAUUAUACGGAAGACAAGGGCCUGGUACAAAAAGGUUGCAAUUUACUUAAUGCAGAUUGCAACCCAUAACGAAAUAAAACUGACUUUUUUACAGUUUCAGCUUCAGAUCAUUUCGUGGAUUUUGUACCAAGAUGCACCUGCUCCCCGGGCGUUGAUGGGAGAGAGCAGAGCUGGUACUACCCACUUUAUUUUUAAAAUACCCGUUACUGCGGCAAAGCAGAAUCCUUAAAAAAGAUGCAGAGUCUGUUUUAAGAGGGGGCAGAGAAAGUACACUGUCUUUUACUGCCCUGAUUGCCCUGGGCAGCCUGAACUCUGCAUUGGGGACUGCUUCAAGCAAUAUCACAUACUGGACCGUUUUACUUUUUUUUUUUUUUACAUUUUCCGUUCGUUUUUUGGUUACGUUUACUGUUCCUGAGUUGUUGUUUUUUUUUUACUUUUACUGCACCUGACUAUUUUUAUGAUCAAGUUCAACCUAUGCAUGGGGGCAUGAGUGUACUCAGGAGGCCUUGCAGAAAACAACCUGGAGUGUUAUCUUGCAAUAACCAAAAAUAGGCUCCCCUAAAUUACUCACAAAUGUAUGUGUAAAAAUGAGAAUUGAAAAAUUACCACCACACAUUUUCUCCAAUUUUUUUUGGCUAAAACGGUUGCAUCAAAGGCAUCAAAACACUUCAUAUAUAAUACCUUGGGGUGUCAACUUUUCAAAUAUAUGCACGUUCAUGGCAAGAAAAUAAAUUGGGAUAUGUAAAAAGGCCCCCAAAAAAGAAGAUUUGUCAAUUUGAAAAACCCAUGUCAGAUGUUUGGCAUUGCACCCCCCCCAAACAACCCAACAAACCUAUGCAUAGGUGGUAUCACUGUACUCAGCAUAUGUUGCUGAACACAUAUUGUGUUCUUUGGUAGUAACCCUUAAAGUUCUCCAUACAUGUAUUCUUAAAUUGCUAUGUGUGUCAAAAAAAAUCACCAAUUAUUAUUAGUAGUAUUUUUUUAAAUUUGGCAUAGAUUGGUGGUAAAAUUGUUGCCUGAAAAGCAUCAAAAUACCACAAGUUUAAUACCUUAGGUUGUCUUCUUUUAAAAAAAUAUAUACAUGUGAAGAGUUAUUCAGAGAUUCCUGACAGAUAUCAGUGUUACAAUGUAGCUUUAGUUAAUUUUGAAAAAAAAAAUGGUUUGGAAAUAGCAAAGUGCUACUUGUAACUUGUGCCCUAUAACUAGCAAAAAAAAGCUAAGAAAAUGUUAACAUUGAGUAUUUCUAAACUCAGGACAAAAUUUUGUGUUUUUUGGCGGUUGUAGAUGAGUAACAGAUUUUGGGGGUCAAAGUUAGAAAAAUUUUGUUUUAUUUUAAUUUUGUCAUCAUAUUUAACAAAACUUUUUUAUAGUAAAGUAUAUGAUAUGAUGAAAAUAAUGGUAUCUUUAGAAAGACCAUUUUAUGUUGAGAAAAACUGUAUAUAGUAUGUGUGGAUACAGUAAAUAAGUAAGAGGAAAAUUACAGCUAAACACAAACACAGCAGAAUUGUAAAUAUAACCCUGGUCCUACAGUAGAAAAUUGAAAACCGGUCUGGUCACUAAAGGGUUAAGGUGUAUCUGUCACGGGAGACGGGACUCCUUGUACGUGUUCCCUUAAUUAUACUUUGUAUCGUCUAAUGUUUCUCUGCAUUCAAAUGGAAUUGUUCCCUUCUGUUUUGAACAGAUUCUGUGGGGUCCCCUUCUUCGCAAAUCAUGUUUAGUCUUGAUUGGAAGAUUGCUGCUUUUACCUGGUUGCAUCCAUUAUAUUGUGGAAACUCUACACAAAGGGAAUACUUUCACUAUAUUCAGCACAUCUGGAAUUAGGACUAGUGGAGAAUUGAAGGAAUAACAGAAAUAGAUUCACGAACCCGUGACAGUAUCUCUUAUGACUUGGGUUUAGUUUAUAUAUUAAACUUCAAUCUACAUAUUAUGCUAGCUAGACUACUAGUAAAUAUGAAGAAGAAAAGUUAUUUUCAUUUUAUUUAACCAUUCAAUUCUAAGUGCUAAACAUACAACACAUCUUCUUUAUAAAGGGUCAAUAAGUGUUUUGGGGUUUCAUAGAAAAUACCCCUCUCUGUCUCAUUAGAGAUUUUGCCUUUUAGGUGUAAUAAGCGAAUUGAAUUAGGACUCACCUAAGAGGUUUUGCCUUGAAGUGGCAGAUGAGCUUACACUUAAAUGACAAUUCAAGUGACACUAAAAAAGCCACCAGUUAUUUAAAUGUGUACAGGGAUUUGGGAUAGAGUGCAAGCAACAGUUUUUUGUUUCUGCUACAUAUACAGUGUCUAUAAGCACCUGGGCUUGCAGGCACCCUCCUGCAAGUGACAUGACAGCAUUCUAAUCUUCUAAAGGGCAUCUACAAGUUAAGAAUGGUAAGGCAAUGCCAUGUAUGUCAUUUAUUUGCUGGUGAUUCAAACUGAUGACAUAUCCAACCAGACAACUUCAUUAAUUUAAGUGGUCUGGGUGCAAUGUCCCUGUCCCCUUAACCAUGCAAUGUUUAUAUUGCAGCAACCAGGCAGUCACCAGAGGCUCUUCCUGCUGAUAUAUGUAGUUUGACUUUGUGAAGCAAUGCUGGACGUCCACACACUUUGCACACUUGCUGCACCUUUGGUCCCCCCCAUCAGCUGAAGUGAGCGAAGAAGGGACAUCGAUGCUGGAUGUAAAGGGUUUAUUAGCCCUUUACAUUGCUGGGGGAGAGAGGUUCUUAUAGUGUUAAGAAUACAGUUUUGUCUUCCUAACACUAUAGUGUUCCUUUAGACGUGCAAAAAAGGGGAAGGUUUGUACAAAUCAAACAAGAAAGAAUCAUGCAAAAUAUAAAAAAGUAUAAAUGAUGUAUUCUAUACUUCCAAAUUCCAUGCUGGAAAGAAGUGAGUGAGUUGUUACAGUGCAUGUGCUUUGGAAGUUAUUUAAUACUUUUCCAAGCUAUGUGAAAUGUUGAGCAUUCCUUUCAUUGAGCUUUGAGAGGAAAUAGUUUUUUUAAAAUAAUAAAAAAUUAAGUGCAUGUAAAUAAAUAUGAAAAACCAAUCACUACCUAUAUUAUAUGAAAGGAACCUUCAGGCAUAUACAUGCAAUUUCAGUCAGACAGUGUUUGUAAAAUGACUCUAUAGUCUUCCCUGCUUCACUCCUUGCACAGGAGACUACAGAGACUUUAGGUUUUCAAGUACUGCCUGACAACACUAUAUAGAGAUCAGGGUGUCUCAGAGCACAGAUGUAAUAGAGAAAGUCUUGGUGCCCAGUCAUAUGUUUGUAAAAAAGAAACACAAAAUUUAGGUGCUAACUGUAUACUUAUAAUAAAGGCAGAAAAACUCUUUAUCAGUGGCGUCUCUAGGAUUCAUUUUUAGGGGGUGGGCCAGGGGCAAAAGUAGGGGGGCACAUUUAACCCCGCCCUCACCACAGUUUAACCCCGCCCCUGCCGCAUGUUAAGCCCCGCCCCCGACACAAUGUGUUUUUUGUUUUUUUUAAUAAUCCCUGGUGGAGAAUUCAUUAUUUUCCACCAAGGAUUAUUAAAAAACAAACACAUUUCCCUUGACAUAGUCCUUACACACACAGAGACUGCUGAGUCCAUACAUGCAGACACGCAGACACACAGACUGCUGAGUCCAUACACACACACACACACACACACACAUAGACUGCUGAGUCCAUACACAGAGAUAGACUGCUGAGUCCAUACACACACAGGCAGACUGCUGAGUCCACACACACACACACACACACAGACUGCCGAGUCCAUACACACAUACAGACUGCUGAGUCCACACACACACACACACAAGCUUCCUAACUAGCAGACAGACACACACACACACACACACACACACACACGCAUACUGCUGAGUCUACACACAGACUGCUGAGUCCAUACACACACAAGCUUCCUCAUUAGCAGACAGACACACACACACACACACACACAUACAGACUGCUGAGUCCAUACACACACACAUGCUGAGUCCAUGACACACAUACACACACACAGACUGCUGAGUCCAUACUCACAGGGACACACACAGACUGCUGAGUCCAUACACACACACACACACACGCUUCCUCACUAGCUGACAGACAGACACACACACACACACAGACUGCUGAGUCCAUACACACACACACACACGCUUCCUCACUAGCUGACAGACCAGACACACACACACAGACUGCUGAGUCCAUACACACACACACAAGCUUCCUCACUAGCAGACAGACACAGACACACACACACACCUGAGCAUAUCAAGCCUACCUGUCACUGGAGGCUGUUGCUGGGCAGUCAGGCAGCCAUCUUCUGGCUUUUCCAGCAGCAGCAAGGUCUGCUGCUUAACGGUGGGGCUUAUGUGCGGGAGGCGGGGCUUAAUUUUAGGGCGGGGCCUGUGCCAGGGAAGCUUCUGAAAACACCCAGCACUGUUCCAGCUACUCUGUCCUGCAUUCCCUCGACUGUUACAGUCCAAGGGAAUAUAAUUUAAGCACAUGGCCAGCAAGUUGCUGGAAUUUGGGGGGGCACAAGGUGGUGAGACCAUGCAUGAUGUAGGGGGGGCCAUGGCCCCCUCUGGCCCCCCCCCAGCGAUGCCACUGCUCUUUUGACAAAUUGCACUAUUAUUAUUUCCUCUUUUUUCUUUUUCUGAGAUACUAGAUAUUGUGUAACGGACAAAGAUUCCACUGAAAUAUGUAUGUACAUCACUGGCGGAUCCAGGGGGGAGGCAACUGGGAAAUUCCGUGCUGUACCAGCCCUGCAAUGUGCCUUCACGGACCGGAGGGGAGAUCAGAGAUCUCCCUCCCCGGUCCGCAGGCACCAUGCGGGCAGCCGGCAGGGAGGGAGAGAGGACCCGGGAGCUCAGCCUGCAGCUCCUCUGGGUCCUUCUCUCGCGAGCACGGAACCACGGCAACGCUACGGAUCUUGCGAGAUUGAACUCUAGCCCUGGAGCAACGGGCUAGAGUUCACUCUCACCACUGUGGCCACCAGGGAUCGAGAAAUGUCCCCCUUCCCUUCUUACCUUUACUGAGGGAGGAGGGGGGACAUUUCUCAAUCCCUGGUGGCCACAGUGGUGUCCUCUAUUUUUAUAAAUUUUUUAUUUUAUUUUUUUUAUAAAAAAACCCUACCCUCCUCACCACACAUUCACACAUUGCACCCACACACACACUGCCCCCACACACACAUACACUGCCCCACACACAUGCACAUUGCCCCCCUAUACACACACUGCCCCACACACACAUACACUGCCUCCUCAUACACACACUGCCCCACACACACACACACACUGCCCCCCACACACACACACAUUUCCCCCCAAACACACACUGCACUCACACACACAUAGACUGCCCCCAUACACACACAUACACUGCCCACACACACACUUACACUGCCCCACACACAUACAUACACUUCACCCCAACCAACACACACUGCCACGUACACACAUUGCCCCCCACACACACACAUUGCUCCCAUACACACACUGCCCCCACACACACAUACACUGCCUUCCAUACACACACUGCCCCAUACACACACAUACACUGCCCCAUACACACACAUACACAUUGCCCCCACACACAGCCCCCCACACACACAUUGCCCCCACACACAUUGCCCCCCUAUAUACACACUCUGCCCCCCAUAUACACACACUGCCCCCCAAUAUACACACACAUUGCUACACACAUUGCCCCCAUAUAUACACACUCUGCCCCCAUAUAUACACACAUGCCCCCCCCACACACAUUGCCCCCAACACACACAUACAUUGCCCCCAUAUACACACAUUGCCCCCAUAUAUACACACUGCCCUCCAUAUAUACACACUGCCUCCCACACACACUGCCCCCACACACACACAUUGCCCCCAUAUACACUCUUCCCCAUAUACACACUCUGCCCCCCUAUAUACACACACUGCCCCCAAUAUACACACACACAUGGCCCCCCACACACACAUUGCCCCAACACACACUGCCCCCCACACACUGCCCCCACACCUUUCCCCACAUAGACUCCUGCCCCCAUAUAAACACACAUGGCCUCCCACACACACACACAUUGCCCCCAACAUACACAUACUGCCCCAUACACAUACUGCCCCCAUACACACACUGCCCCUACCAUACACACACUGCCCCACCAUACACAUACACUGCCCCACCAUACACAUACACUGCCCACCCAUACACACAUACACAGCCCCCCAUACACACAUUGCCCCACACACCCUACACAUUAACACACCACACUCCCCCCCACACACACUGCACCCCUCACACAUUGCACCACUCACACACACACCACUGCCCUACUACAGCCCCAUAUCCCAGCAGACCCCAGGUAAGUUUUGACUACUUACUCUGGGAGGGGGGCCCAGCACUUCUGGCACCAUAACCAUUACACAGAGCUGUAGUGGUUAUUGUGCAUGGAUUCUUUCUUUAAAUAAUCUAAAAGUGAACCUCCCAAGAUCAGGCUCUGGAUCCACCACAGAUGUACAUAUGGGUCAUGUGUAACUUUACCUAUGGGCUACAUUUUUGUUUCUGAACCAAAAAAAACAAGUAAGAGUGGAGCAGUGUGUAAAUAUUCAAAGUGACAAAAGGCAGUGUUUAGGUGAAAGACCCAAAAAACAGCUGAAGCAGCUUUGAAUAUAAAAGUACUGUAGUUAUACUUAAUAAUCAGCAGGUGGCAUCAGGUUGAACAUCCCAAAGCAUAUAUGCAGAAAAAAGUAUAUAAACAAAUAAUUGCGCAGACUGUAACUUGAAAGUAGAAUGCAACUAAGUACAAGUAGGCUUUAUAAAGUGCCAGCAUGCAAUAGGUCAAAUUAAUCUAUUAGUUGAUUUAUAAAGUGCAAAUAUAUUUAUUACAUAUAAAUCUGUGACAAUACCAAUAAAACCACUGACUCUUACAGAAUCAUGUUGUGAGCCAAACCGGCAUAUGCCGUUACUCACUGCCAGGCUUGUUAAAACGAAUAACAUCCUAUGGGGAUACGGCAGGUAGCUUCCAUGUAGCUUUGCUGUUUGAAAUGCUGUAGUCCAGCCAAAUAAUUUUAAAGCAGUCCUCUGUCACCGCUGCAAGUUUCAAAGUCUUCGCCCCGACGUAUGACGUUGACGCCUUUUAAAAAUGAUUUUUCAAAUGUGGCAGCUGUAGUGCCCACCAAAAAGGUUUUACCAGGAAUAAAUUUUUGGCCAAUAAUCAAAUAUACACCAUUAGAUAUGGUAUGACUUGCAAUUCCUGUAAUGUUAUAUGCAUGCUCACUUGUCCCUGUUGACUAAGGUACAUAAGAUGUACCUCCAGAUUACUUUGUACAAGAAUAUGUGAGCAUGUAUAUAACAAAGAGGAAAUUUGUUAAUUGGUAUACGGAGAAUAAGAGGUGAUUGGAGAGGUGGUGAUUUCAAUUAAAAAAAUAGGACAGGCAAAGAUGAAGUGGAUAUUUGAAUGUUAUAACAUGACAGGAGGCUUCAUAAUUGCUUAAGUCUCUCUUUACUAGAACUCCACGGCAGCACAUUAACAUAGAGAGAAAAAGCCAAUCACAAAAAACGUAAGGAAACCAUAUAAGGCCCCCCCCAACCAACUAUUCCCUCUUUCUUUGCUGCUCCACAUCAAGCACAGGUCAGAGUAUCACUACCUCCUUUUACUUUGGGUGGCUAUGGAUAUAUUUUUUCCAUAGUGUCCACAUAUUUUAUUCAUAUUUAAGGCAUGUUUAUUACUUAUUGUGUUUCUUUGUAUGGUGUGCUGUAUUGCUAUGCUGUGUGGGGGAUUUGAGCAGGGUUCUUCCUGAUUGGGGCUUUUUGGUGGCCUGUCCUGCCGGCUAGGGUGCAGGUGUAGCCUGUUGGCCUCACCACCCGCCCAUUGCCGACUGCCGGGACCGCGGAGGAAGACUCUGGCGGUUCCACGUGUUUCCCCGCCCGCCGGCGUCCGCCAGACGGGAGCUGUUUGCCUGCUCUCUCCCACCCUGCCCUCACUCCCGCUCACGGCAUUGGAUUGCCGCGGCUUGGACGGGGCGGCAUGGGCAGUAGUGGGAGAGCAAGCUGACCAUGUGGGAGCGGCUGCUCCUGACUGUCUCACCCUCCACUCACCCUCCCGCGACCUUGUGGAGUGCGCUGGGGGUGUAGCAGCUUAGUGCCGGCCGCUCUUAAGGGUACAGUGCUCGUUCUGUGCCAGUUAAAGGGAAAUACAUGGUACCCAGAUGGGAGAUUUGACUGCAUGAUUUUACCCCUUUCUCAGUUCCCUGUUAUGCCCAGGUCUCUGCUCUGACUGGCUCACUUUCUCUGACUGCCAGGAGACUGGUGGUGGGGGUUGCAUUUGGACUGCGCUCCCCUCUGCCGUGCAGCCUCCCUUGUUUACAUAUAUCAGUGAGAUGGCACAGUGGGUUGAUGCAUCAUCACUAGAAUCUAUUGUUGACUCAGUCCUUCAUCCUGCUGAUGUAGUUAAAGGAGUAUCAUUAAUUGGGUAGUAGUCACAUCCCCAGGACAUAUUUGGACACCAGAGUAUAUGAACGUACUUCCCUGGUACAAAGUUUGUUAAUAUGGCAUUAUCUGUGGAUUCUUACCCCUGUUUUCUACUCGCCUGACAUCCUACCCUCGGACACUUUCCCUGCUAUAUCUGAAUGGCCUGCCUUGAAGGUGCCUCUAUUUAGCCUGCGCUGUCUGUGCCCGUGUGACCGGCCUGCUUGACUGUGACUGGAUUGGUCUGCCUUGACUUUGUCCCUUGAUUGGCCUGCUUUGGUUGUGCCCCUUUGAUUGGCCUGCUUUUUCUGUGCCCCAUGAUUUGGCCUGCUCUGACUGUAUGCCUGAUGGCUCUAUACACCCACUUGGGCACUGCAUGCGCUAACUGCUUGCCUCUGCCAUUAUUAGGGGUGCUGCCCCGUUUACAUACUGGUGACACCUGUCCUCUAUACCCGUUGGCGUCUCGUUUGCCCAUGUCUCCUUGAGCACGGAGCCAUCUACCCAGGAGCAGAAUCUGCAAGCCAUGAUUACUGCAGCAGUGGCCACCUUUGUGGAAAAGGCCCUGACUAGGGCCCUCCCUCAAGCUCAACCAGAAUGGGGCGCUAGGGAGACCUCCCAUAUGGCAGACGACUCGGCUGAGUCGGACUCUCCUAGGAGAGAACAGGCAAAUGUGCAGGGGCGCUAUUAGAAGGGUGAAGGCCCUGAACCACGCUCCUGGAAAGGCAAGGCUACGGCGAAGCGUCAUGGCCCAGCGUUGUCUGCCUCACCAGCCAGACGCCGCCUGUCAGGCACGGGAGUGGUGGCUUCUAUAACCCCCCCUUAGAUGGCCAUCCUGGAUGUAUGGUAGGUGGGCCAGUUCCCCUCGGAGGAGGAAGUUGAGUGGAACAAGGACCUUGGAGAUGACCCUAAGUGGUACCAUGUAGCGGAGGACACCUCCAUGCCUGGGGUGGCGGCUACGGCCAUGGACAAAGACUCUUUCUUGGAUGCCACGGACGAACCCCUAUUCGACCCUCGGGCCAUUCGACACCCUAGAUCCUCCGCAUGGUCCCUUCCCGAUCAGUUGGCACAAUUCGUACAUUAUUGGAUCCGCAGACCUCUGGAUUGGGAGGUGCGCAGUAAACUUCGGGCUGAAUGCCCCAGACCGGUACUACUGGAUAAGGCCACCACGACCCCAGAAUUUGUCUCCCUGGUUUCUACAUACAUGACCCAUACGGGGCAUGAUCCCAAGAAGGGGUCAAGCGCAGCCUCUGUUUGGCUCAGGACAAACUACGGGACAUGCUGGGUCCCCUGUGCAGGAUGUUAAUGAUGGCUGAUGAGGCCUACCCAGAAGGGGCUAUCCUGGACCCUGCUGCCAUGCGGGACUGGGCCUUGCGCUCCAUUUGCCUGCCGGGCAACACAAAAGUGGCCCUAUCCACGGAACGCAGGAAGGCGGUCCUUUUAAGGAUGGACAACAUAUUGUCGGACUUUGGGUAAAAGGAAUUAGGCCCCUUGGCUAAAGAUCUGCUUUUGGGGGAACCGUUCAUUAUAGAACUGCACAAGCACUUUCGUGGACAAGGCGCAGACCUCCAUGUAAGGGUCUUUCGCCAGCAGUUUUCACAGGUUUUGGCAGGGCUGGACAACAGCGGGGUCACGUCUCCAGCCGCUUCUGGCUUUUGGACCAUUGAGGAUCCCGUGGACCAUCAUUCUUCAGACGUUUCAGGGAUAUGUCAUAGCUUGUCAUUUCCCUCCGACUCAGGUGCGUCCUCCACCAGUUCCCUUUGCCACAAGAGAAACAGACCCUGAUGGACGCAGAGAUUCAGGCUCUGUUCAACAAGGGUGCUGUACAGUGGUCUCCGGACACGCAAUUCUGUGAAGAGCCAUUCAGACUGUAGUGUCAGACGCACUCUGUGGUCUCCUUAUUCGAACAUCUAGGGUUCGUGGUCAUCGGGGAGAAAUCAGCUCUCUCUCCUGCCCAGUUGGUUGAGUUCUUGGGUUUCGAAGAAGACGUGUGUGACAGAACUGUCUGUCUAUUGUGGUGGAUUCGUCUAUUUCUGCCCCCUUUCGUGUAAAUGGCUGUUUCUAUAGCCCAGCCAUACGAAUGACUGUUUUCACUGAACAAAUUCACCGAACGGAUGGCCACCCAGAAGAAGAAGUGUGCUGCUGGUUAACCUCUUGAUCCCAAUUAGUGGUUGUGGUUAACCGCAGACACUUCUCAAAUAAACAAAUUCAGGGUGGUCGUCGUUCGUAUGUCGACCACGAGGCAGCGACCAUUUUAAAACCCACGAAAGCCCAGCGGUGUUUGGCACUGAUUCCAUGGAUCUAAAAACGGACACUUUUUCUGCCGAACACCGCUGAAACAACGGGUCGUCUGGCUGCCUCGACGAAAGCGUACGAACACCGGCCGUUCAGGAGUUUUGAAACACAUGAAAGGACUUAACCCAGAUAGCCUUCCCAUGGAGUCAAUCGCAUACCGAAAGACUGUAAAAACUUUGACUCCAUGGCGAUUGAACAAUGUGUGUGGGAUCUGAGCGCUAUUCACCAAUAAUAUGCACUCAGAUCCAGGCUAUCUGGGGGUAUGUGAUGCGAAUGUGAAAUGUUCGGUUAUUAUAAAGUUAUGUAUUUUCUGGUAUUGUAUUUAAGAUGGCGAUUUGUCUUUGUCCUGGAGAUAAUUGAAUUACUUCUCAAUUAUCUCCAGGGCAGAGGGGAGGAAACCAUAUUGCAUUGUGGGAAAAGCCUGUGAUUGUAUGUCUGAACUGUCCCCAUGUCCAUCUGUAAUUUCAGUCUCCCAUUUGGUCCCCUAGGGGAGUGUCCACCAAGUGGGAGACCUUCAUAAAUACGGGCAGGUAGCCCACAGUAAAGCCAGAUCCUGUUUGACCCUCAAUGCGGAGCUUCUGUCUCGUUAUUGGGGGGGGGAUUUAUUAUUUGCGUCUAGAGACUGAUUAUUGGAACUGAAAGCCGCUUGGUGGAUAUCUUUGUUCGGCGGUUAGCGGCGGUUCGUGGAUUUCUGUUUGGGAGUUUGGAACCUUUUACGGAUCCCGGUCGGGAGAUUACCACUUGUCCCUGGUUAUGGUUCGUGGAUUACAGUUUAUGCGAAUGGAUUACUGAUAUUGCGAAAGGGGAAGGUGAACUAAACGGUGGUUUCUCUUAAAGACACCAGGGGUUGUUAUGGACAGAUGAAUUAAAAUAAAAUGGCUAUUUACUAAUGUCUAUUUAUUCUGUGUUCACUAUGUUAAAACUGGCUGCUAGAGUAAAUAUUCCCUUCGCCCCCUACAAUGUGUUCAGUUGCUGUUUACUAUGUAAAUUCUUCAUCCUGAUAAGCAUCCCCCUUCAAAUCAAGCAAACCUUGUGUAAACAAAAUUCCUGUGUUAACAGCUCCCUUUACUAACUCCUCCCCCACUACCUUUGUGCCAGUUAAACAGCUAUAUGCCACGUAUAGCUAAAUGGAGGAUCAUUGGUUUAGAACUGAUAGAUACCACUCACUCCCCCUCCCAUCAUGUAUCCAAAAUUCUGUAAUGAUGACACUACAUUCUGUAGGGAGGUUUAAACAAGAGCCCCCUUUCUCUGUUAACCAAUUGGUGAAUGUAUACUGUAUGUUUAAACUGUGACGUAUUUUUGCUUUAAGAAGGAGCCCCCACUCCGGGGAAUAAAGCAUUCCUGAGUUUUUCACUGAUCAGAAACUUUGUCUCCGGUGUGAAUUACUUCUAUGGAAAGCGUGCACGCAUUAAUCAAUCAAUUUGGAAGGUGUAGAUAGACAAAUUAUCAAAGUUUUCUUUGGUCCAAAUCAGUUGGCGCACUUCCGAACAGGGACGAGAGGGUUGUUGUUAUUCUGCUCGAAGCCGUAAAAUCCCAGGACCGGAGAGGAGACCCCCAGAGAUUGAAAAAAAAAAAAAAAAGAGCCUGAUCACCUCUGCAUAUGGUAAAUGAGUAACUUACCUAUAUUUUCCAUUCUUUGGAAUUGGUCUGCACUCUGGGCCUUCACUCGGCUUCCUGUGGUUAACGUCAGACAGGUAUAUAGUAUGCCCACAUGUCCCCUUUUAUAUAGAACCUGUCACUUGUCUAUCUACAGCCUGAGUCCUGAGUGUGAGUUUUAUGUGUGAAAGUGUCUGUUUGAGAAUCUGUUUUACUUUCUUGUGAUUAUUUAAUUCAGGGUGCAAAUAUACCUGGAGUUUUUAGGCCAGAUUAUAUUAAUUAAUAUUUUAAUAUUAAUUCUUGGCGCUUCCUUUGUUGUUUUUCAUUUAAAUUCAGGUGUGCAGAAUAGCCCCUGGUGGUUAGUUUUUGUCCGAUUAAGAAUAGAUCGUGGCGUUUCCUUUGUUGUUUUUCAUUUAAAUUCAGGUGUGCAGAAUAGCCCCUGGUGGUUAGUUUUUGUCCAAUUAAGAAUAGAUCGUGGCGUUUCCUUUGUUGUUUUUCAUUUAAAUUCAGGUGUGCAGAAUAGCCCCUGGUGGUUAGUUUUUGUCCGAUUAAGAAUAGAUCGUGGCGUUUCCUUUGUUGUUUUUCCUUUAAGUUCAGGCGUGCAGAAUAGCCCCUGGAGGUUUAGUUUUUUGUCCGAUUCAUAUUAAAAAUAGAUCGUGGCGAUUCUUUUGUUGUUUUAAUAAAAAACAACGAACAAAGAGUGAAGUUGUUGUAUAUGUGCUUGAGUGUUUCUGUGUGUGAUUUGAUUUAUUAUAAGCCGGCAUUUAUUUUAAGAACUUUGUGAUUUAAUUACAUCUGUAUUUUGUGCUUUUGUCUGUGUAUGUCUUGUUAGGUACCAUAUAUGUUAAUUGUAAUCUAUACAAUUUGUAUCGUUACUCUCCUAUUCUAUCUUUUGUCCUAAGGAGAGCUGUGCUUAGGCAAUCACAUGGUUAAAAAACUUUGUGCUUGCAAGUCUUCCUCCCUCCUCCCCCCUCCUUCUUUGUUGCUUUCUCUUGCUCUGACUGCUAUGAGUAUUGGCUACAGGGGGGGUGAAUGGGUGAAAUGCUUGUAAACUCAGUGAGGAAUGUGAGGGAAACAAGGUAUAUUUGCUGGACGAAUAACCUAGUUAGGAACUUUGUGUAAUCUUGUAUAUGUUGUUAAGUAAGAGGUUAUUGGCAUGUUGGAAUAAGGAAAGUUAGAUUUUGUUGGAACAAAUGAAUUGUGGAAUUCAUAAAUGAUAUUGCAGAGAAAAGUAAAUUGCAGUUUGCAUAUAAUAGCAGCUAUUCAGAUGCUGUAUUGUGGCAAUCUUUAUACACACAAUGUGAAAUUGCCAAUAGUGAAAUUGACAAGAAAUUGUUUGUUAAUAAGAAAAAACAAAAGAUCAGAAAUGUUAUGAAACUAGUCUGUACUUACAGUGCAUUGAUUUGUAAACGUAAUGCAGGUCAAGACAAUUUAGAAUCAUCAGAAAAAGAAGUAGAUUUGAAUGGGUUAACAGAAGACAAAUCAGAUUUAAAUGAACAGUGUAACAAUGUAACAGGGAGCACAUGCUGUAAACAGUCAGAAACAGUCUGUGAAUUAGAGGAUAGAGUUGAACUAAGAAAUGAUCUUAUUUGCCAGCUUAGAAAUGAAGUUAAGCAAGUGUGUGUUAAUACAAGAAAAAUACAGACACAGAAUCUAAUCCCAGAACCAAUAGAUACUGAAAAUGUAUCCUCACAGAGUGAUUUGCAGAAAAUAUAAAUUUCAAGACAGAGCUGCAAAACUUAAUUUGAAAAUACAUGAACAAUUAAUGAAAAUUGUGAAAUGUAUUCCAGUUUAUGACACGUCAGUGGAUGCAUUUACUAAUGCUGGAAUGUUUGAGUCAAAUGUGGACAAAUACAGCCUAAAUGACGAACAAAGGAAUAGAUUGUUUAAAAUAUGGCUGCCGACUCAAAUGGCAUGUAGACUGACCACGCUUGUAAAAUUUGAGGACAAUGAUAAAAUAAUAUAUGGAAAUUAGGAGACAGACAAGCAAUGCAGCGUAACACAGAAAGUUAUAAGAAUCAGAUAACUUCAAGAGAUAUGAUCAGUUUAGGGAAUGAGCAUGGAUAUGUCUGCCAACAGAUGUACACAGGCUGAUUCCAGAAUUAAGAACAGCACAAGAAUAGAGAUCUAUGUCAGUUUAUUGUUUUAAAUGAAUUGUUAGUCUGUACUGUCUUUCAUUGUUUUUAUAUGUGUUAUAAGAAAGUAUUAGGUUAAUUAAAAUAAAAAUUUAAAUCAAGUUUGCACAUAUGGCAGAAUGAGAUACACUAAUGUAGCAGUGAGGAACAUGCAAUGUUAUGUUGGGUGUAUGCAAUUAUAUAGUAACUCCAAUCAUUUUACAGAAGAAAAAACAAUAGAUUUAUUCUUUGUUGCUUCUGAGGUUGAUUUAAAAUCUUUGAUUUAAUUCAUGAGAAUGAGAUUUUAAUAUCAUGACUGAUAAUGGAUUACUGUAUAUUGCAACGCCUGGACAUACACAUGGUUUGGAUAUACUGAAGACAAAAGGAAUAAUAUAUGGGAAUGGAUAAGGCUGAUUUACCCCUAUCCACAGCUACGCCUACUCCUAAAGUAACAUCGCGUACAUCCUUACUAUGCCCUUUUACUGUAGAAUUUCCCGAAUCCUAAUGACCAAUUCCACUACAUGGUGUGACUUGUUUAAGCCUAAGAUAAAUUGGCUGAUCAGGCUACCUGUAUUAACAAUGUCAUCAACGAUGAGUUAGCAUCUGUGGAGAAGUAUCACUUCAGGUUGUCCCAAAUUUUCUUUUAACUUAAGUUUUAGUACAUAGUAAGGCCCAUGCCCAACAACUAUAUGCAGCCUUGUAUAGCAGGCCACAUGACAUCUAUUUGUACCAAGCAAGGCCUGCCUGACUCCUCAUUCCUGUCUAACAUUGUUGUCUCCUGCAUAAGUGUAGAUGGCUCUCUUUGGAGUAGCCUGUUAACUAAGCCUUGCUUUGUGGUUACUUUCACCUGUCCAAUUAAUCUGCUAGGUGCAGAUGUCCUUCCCCCACUUGCAGGCCCCUAUCACCUUAUUAUUUAUUUUGUUCCACACAGUGAAACCUGACCAAGAGGCAAGGGUCCUAGCUAGUUCCCCCAAUACCUUUACCUGAAUUAUACAGGCCCCAAAGCCUGUCCAAGCUCUUACUAUUCCCUAACAGGUUAAGGCUCUGGUGUCGAAUGGUGCCCUGGUUACCUGAGACUUUCCAUGCAAUAUCCCACCUCUCCUUGUGAUGGACGAAUUCUGUGCAGGAUAAUGUCACCCUGCAGGGAUGAUACUCUAUUUACCUGGCCACUCUUUUGCCACUUCCCAAGGGGGGAAAUGAUAAGACACUGACUAUUAUUUUUUUUUAGCAUUUUUCUUAUGAUCUGUUCCGGAUUUGCUGUCACUACAGUGGACCAGGUAUCUCACCUCAACAAUGUCUGCACAAGAAGUUGAGCUAUAGGCUCCCAUCACAGCAUGCAAGAUCUCUGAAGGAAGACUGAUCUCGGAGAAAGCAUGUGGCAACUCUCUGGCUGACUAAGUUGUUCAAUAAGUUGUAAGUGCACUAAGGAAAGUGGACAGAAAAGUGUCUACUGAAGAAACUCCCAUAUUCACCAUGUAAGAUCCUACCCACAGACCUCAAGCUACUGACCCUGGAAAGAAAGAAAAAACAAACAAACCACAAGCUGGAAACAGAAAGGGGCAACUCUUAAAGACAGGCUGUACUUCAACAAUCUCAAGUUCUACUUGCCCAAGAACAUAUACUCAGCAGUGGGCCUACGGAGCAUCUGUCCAGAACCCUCAUGAACUCUUUUGAUCAAUAAAUACUCUGAAGUAUCAGGAAUUGCCUCUCUGACCAACAGUUACUGUAAAUCUUGUGCCAUUUGUGCCAAGGGCAACUCAGGAAGAAUGGAGCCAAAGCAUCUAGCCAAACCUCAUUAUCUCUUCCAGAGGAGUCAAGUCGACUACAUCCAGAAUGCCAAAGAAUGGCUGAUUCAACUAUGCACUAAUUAUAGCAGACAUGUUUUCAGGAUGGCCAGAGGCCUAUCCAGCCAUCAAAGUGAUAACCAAGACCACAUGCUGAGUAGUGCACUGUGAAAGUUACAGAGAUCACCCCGUGGAUUCAUCAUUCCAGAAUCAAGCCUGCCUCUGCAUUAUGUGAAGUAGCAUUUGUUGAUCUUGACAACCCUUUUUGAAACUCCAUUCUUAGAGAACAAAGAUACUUGUUGAAAAUAAAUAAAUAAAUAAAUAAAUAUCAACAAGUGGGUGUUUUGAUGGCCAUAAUAAUGCCUGACCACCUGCCAUCGAUGGAAAGCCGAAUACCCCAAAAGGGGACCUCGUGAAACUAAAGAGAAACAAACAUACUCCUUACCCUGCAGCCCUCAUGUCUGAGGUGCCAUACGCACAGUCAAAGCUUCUUCAGGAUCAUCUGCUUAUCUUGAGUUUGUGGUGAUAUUAAUAUUGAAUGUUUAAAUGAUCUGAAUCUGCCAGUACUAGGGUAGCAUGAGACAAGAUUUCUAAGAAUAAGUAAAUGUGCCCUAGCCUAGGUUAUUAUGUCCAUACACAUAACACAUGACAAUCCCCAAGGUACUCUUGACACACCUCAUUCAUGCUUCAGGACAAAAAGGAGUACCCCUAUAAAGGGUGGUUUUACCCACACAUAUAUAUAUGUAUAUUAAUGCCAUAGGGGUGUCAAGGGGGGUACCAAAUGAUUUUAAGGUAAGAAACUAAGUUUGAAUCUAUUCUCCCAAGCAUUACGGCUAAUAAAAUCUGAAUUGGAAGGGAAGAGGUUUAUACAAUAAACAGGAGACCUUUUUCUUACAGGACAUGUAUGACUCAGCUGAAUGGGUAGGUGCCACGCACAUGACUGUUAAUCACCUCAAACCACACAUUAGGACUUUAAAAGACAUGGUAGUCAUCCCAUAUUUGAGGAUAAGAGGGCUGUAGAGACAGGUUUCUCUGACACUAACUUGUGACUUGAAUGGAUGAAAUACAAUGCUACUAAACAUAACAAGUCUAACUGCUAUGUCUGCAGAGGAGCGAGGCCUCACCCAGGUACAGUAUCCCUGAACCUUCCUCCGGAUAUGAAGUAUGCGUUUUAAGUCUCUACACUGUAUUUAAACCUAAGCGGUCAGCAUGCGAGUCAUGGAAACUUAAUACCCAAUCAUUACUAAAAAUAUUAUGCCCAAACGAAGGCAUUACUAUAUAUCCUGGGAACUAUACUUGUUAUGGGAUAUAUGGUGGGAUAGGGCGGUUACAAGCUACCUCUCAGAUGACCUUCCAGAAUAGAAUAAGCUUUAAAAUGAUUUUGGCAGAAAAAGGGAGAGUAUGUAAAAUACUCCCAGACACCAUAACAUGCUGUACCUAUAUUCCAGACAAUACAGGCCCUAAUGGUAAGGUAACGUUGGCAAUAGAAAAGUUAAAGAGUUUGUCCAAUGAGCUGAAACGAAAUUCUGGGGCCACAGAUCCAUGGGAAAGAUGGUUUGGAUGGAUGACUGGAUGGCAAGGUGCUCUGGCCCAAAUAGGUGUUGCCAUUUUAAUAACGAUAAUCAUCCUCGCUCUUCUUGUUUGUUGUGUGUUACCCUGUCUUAAGAAAUGCCUACAAAAGACAGUUGAUCAGACAAUCGACCAGACCACCCCGACCUUCCUUCACCAAGAGAUUGACGACAUCGACCGUGAUACACCACAUACACCCUUACAGUCCCACCGCACUAAAUCAACAGCUACUUCCUCUUAAGGACAUUUAGGGAUAGCGUCUGUCUCUACGGGCAGAAGUCUGCCGCGGGAGAAGUAGUGGACAAGCUGCUAUGGGGUACCCGCGCAGUGAAGUGUUCGAGGCCUGUUCAGACAGAUGUGCAAGAUAGCCUUUUGUUAUUUUUCUAUAGGGACAGUAUUAGAAUGAGAGAUAGUAGUUUUAGUAAAAUUGCCAUUUUAAGGGGGGACUGUUAUGGACAGAUGAAUUAAAAUAAAAUGGCUAUUUACUAAUGUCUAUUUAUUCUGUGUUCACUAUGUUAAAACUGGCUGCUAGAGUAAAUAUUCCCUUCGCCCCCUACAAUGUGUUCAGUUGCUGUUUACUAUGUAAAUUCUUCAUCCUGAUAAGCAUCCCCCUUCAAAUCAAGCAAACCUUGUGUAAACAAAAUUCCUGUGUUAACAGCUCCCUUUACUAACUCCUCCCCCACUACCUUUGUGCCAGUUAAACAGCUAUAUGCCACGUAUAGCUAAAUGGAGGAUCAUUGGUUUAGAACUGAUAGAUACCACUCACUCCCCCUCCCAUCGUGUAUCCAAAAGUCUGUAAUGAUGACACUACAUUCUGUAGGGAGGUUUAAACAAGAGCCCCCUUUCUCUGUUAACCAAUUGGUGAAUGUAUACUGUAUGUUUAAACUGUGACGUAUUUUUGCUUUAAGAAGGAGCCCCCACUCCGGGGAAUAAAGCAUUCCUGAGUUUUUCACUGAUCAGAAACUUUGUCUCCGGUGUGAAUUACUUCUAGGGAAAGCGUGCACGCAUUAAUCAAUCAAUUUGGAAGGUGUAGAUAGACAAAUUAUCAAAGUUUUCUUUGGUCCAAAUCAGGGUGUCUUAACAACGCAUAAGAAUGUGUCCUACGUCUGCCUCUAUCCAAGAUAGCAGCCAUUCGGAAGGAGAUAAGGAGGAUCCUUUGUCAUCAUGCUAGACAUCAUGCGUUCAGCUUACUGGUCACGAGAACAUACUUUUUGCCAAUUUAUUUUUAAAAUAUAUAAUAUUAUGCUUCUUUUGCUUUGCUGUUGGAGCGUUAAAACAGCAAAUAUGAAACCUUCUGUCAUGUUAUAAAAUUGUAGAUUAUACUAGCUUUAGUGUAACUAUAAUCUUAAUUUUAUUAAUGACAGGAGGCGAAAAUUUCCCUGCCAGUUUCUCCCUUCCCUUAUCGUUGUUUGUUUUUAUUGACAUAUUUUUAGUGUUAGUCUAUUCUCAAGGAAGGUGGUAGACAGGUCUGGUAUUGUCUAUUUAGAGGAAGUCAGAGUGUGUUUUCUGGGAUGUUGUACUGUUAGUAAUUGAUUAUGGGUUUUCAUGUUUUUCCCAGUACAUUUCAUUCACUAAUCAGAGUUUCGAUUCUGUUUAUCUCGUUUCAGUUUAAUGGUUCCACUACAGGUCCGGUUUCCAGAUGUUCUGCAGGAUACAGUUCAAGGCUUCCUCUGCGGAUCCACUUUCGUUACGAGUUCGGAUGACAGUCAUUGACGAAUUUCGUUUGAUUCUUCUUCUAUUGUUAUUGUAUUAUAUCUUGUUCACGUACUUAGU
Non-coding RNA from Pelobates cultripes (western spadefoot toad), 24082 nucleotides. The record is from the annotation of a GenBank genome assembly. NCBI's taxonomy places the organism in Eukaryota, Metazoa, Chordata, Amphibia, Anura, Pelobatidae.